Long non-coding RNA from Chroicocephalus ridibundus (black-headed gull), 4296 nucleotides. RefSeq lists it as uncharacterized. Lineage: Eukaryota; Metazoa; Chordata; Aves; Charadriiformes; Laridae. The record is from RefSeq and is a predicted model, not a curated record. The transcript has 7 exons.
GUGUUUCUGCAAUGAAGUGUUGUUUCAUAUUCUAAGUAUUUUCUGUAAAUUAAUAUCAAGACUUUGCAUUUCUUUCAGCUUUUGGAUUAACUGUGGUUAAUGUAAAAGUGCGCACUGCCACAGCAGAAGGAAGGGAGCUUGCUGGUGCCAGCAGACUCUCCCUUUCAUAGGACCAGAGAGAAAAAUGAAACUAGACUCUCCCCAAGGUGGACAAGGGGUCUCUUGUAAAAGUUCCAAAGUCACUAGAGGAACUGAUAUAUAGAAAAAUCACAGCUGCUUCCCUCUUGUGCAUCUUCACUGGGGGAGAGAUGUUUUGUUUUCCUUUGAAGAAGACGUAUGUGAUAGGAAGAGAGCCGUUCUCCGAGAGGCAAGACAGGGUCACAUUCUGGCCUUUCUUUGCUUGAGAGGUGGAGAUCCAGAGUCUGAGUGGCAGGAGAGGCUCACGUUCUGGUUCAUCACUACAUUCAAAGUCCUCUGAACAGACAUGAGCCUGGGAUUGGACAGCAUCUCUGGAAAGAAGAAACUUCUGACUGGCAGGAAGCAACUGUAAAAAUGCAGCUGCUGGGAGAAGAACCAUGAGCGCUCGUGCAUCUUCCUGUUGUGGGAGCCUGUUUUUUUGUCAGAAAACCACAAAAAAAGGGCCUUAAGACGCUCGCAGCUAGGUGAUGGAGGUGGAGAGGUGUCCCGAAAGCUGUGGAAGGAGGCCGCGGUCUCUCCCUCCUGUCAGGAGGAGGGUGCGGCCGGCACGGGGCAGCCGCCGGGAGGCCGCUGAGGGCUGUGGCGAGGAGCCCCCGCCGCCCGCGGCCGCCUCCCUCGGUGCUGGCGGCGGUUUGGGUUGUUGGCGCCGGCCCGCCGGUGGCUGCGGGCGAUGAGGGGGCCUGGGCCUUCCCCCGAGGCGCGGGCAGGGCGGGUGGGAGGCGCCGUAGGCUGCCGGCUCCCUCACACACAGCCGGCGGCCGCCUGCGGAGGGGUCACGGAGCCCGCCAGCCGCCUCCCACUCCUCCUGCUGCGGGGAGCCGCUGGGGGAGCGGGCACUGAACGCUUUACUGAUUCGGUGUGUAAUAGCGAGUAGUUAUUGUGAGCUGUGACUUUGACCGUAGAAAAGAGAAGUUUAGUUGUCACUAGGAUCUCUCGAGGGCAGCAGCUUUAAAUAACGUGUGUGCAGGCAGCGUGGUUGGUCCCCUCAGGACACGCGGCCUGGGUGCCGAGGGACGAGGGGCUGGUUCAGAAAACCGGUCUGCGUUUGGGACGGGAGGAGGGCAAUUCCAGAGCUCUCCGUGCCUUUCUUGGCUGGUUUGGACUCUGCCGAGCAGCCCUGCUCCCGCGCUCGCCUCGGGAGGAGAUCCUGCGGUUCGGUGCAUCUGUGUCCUCAGUGCUUGUUUUGGUGGUUUUGGGUUGUUUUGUUGAGGUUUUUUCCCCUUGAAAUUUGGGUUUAGGGGCUGAAAUAGGAGGGAAUAUGUUUUCUUUGACACAUCCCGUUCAUCUCAACUAUACAUGCAGGAUUACAGGGAAGAGCUGUGUUUCAUUUAACAUUACAAUAGUUGUGCAUAACUAUUUCAACUGCUCUAAUACCUGUUUGCUUCUCGACUUUCAUAAUUGCUUUGCAGAGCAUUAAUAGAGAUACUUCUUAUGUAAAAAGAUUUUUGAACCGUUAUGGUAGAAGUUGGUAGCUGAGGCUUACUGAUGAAGUUUGUAUAAAAUCCAGACUGCAAUUGCUAGAUCACCACUGGGGGAGUAAUAAUAUGUCCUGGUUAGAAAAUGGGACUUCAGAUGAAGUUCAUAACAUAAAUUAUUAAGUUAAGUAGAUAUAAAGAAGCUUACAGAAAAAUUUACUUGACUACUGAGUCCUAUAAGGGCAAGGAAGGGUUGGAUGUACUAAAAUUUCGUUAAAGCGUAAUCCAGCAGACUGUGUGUACUCAUGGGAGUUGUGCAUGCCAAUGAUGCAUUCUUAUUCUCAAGCACUACUCUUAGAAUAACACUUUUAAUUUCUGCUGGUUUAUGUGGAUAUAAUUGUGAUGAGUAUUCAACAGAUCUGAAGGUGGAUAGUGUCUUUAUGGCGGCUUUGUAAAAGGCUUUAAGGCAGUACUUUUUUUCCACGCGUGCUGGAAGUGUCCCAGAUUUAAGAGAAUGAGCUUCAUUAAAUCCUGUAGUAUUACUCCGAGGCAAAAUAUUACUGUCUUAUUUUGUCCUUCAGCAAGGAGAACAUAUGGCAUCUGGUUGGCCAUACGAUCAAUGUGAAACAGGGAAAAAAGGCAGAAUUAGCCCUUGGCAUUACUUUUCUGUGAGGUUUUGAAUACUGACUUUACCUUUGAACACUAGUGCAUUAAUCGUUUGAAGAGUGUCCUAGAUAGUAGUAAACAAAGUUUACUUCCAUGUUGAUUGUUUUUUUUGGCAGAGUUGGCCAUCAACUUUGGACUAAUAUGAUGUUGAUCAGUUCAAUACGUAUACAUAGAGUUCUAUAGCAUCAAUAAGAUACUGUGCGAGCUUCAAGUUCCCUUUUUAUUAGACUUACAAGUUUCCUGCCUGGAAUUAAUGUGGUUCUAUAUGUAGGAAGACCUGAAUAAAUUUAACAAAAAGUAAGGAACAGAAGUCAUCCAGCCAAAACAAGUAAGUUAAAAAGUCUGAAGGGGAGGUGUGUGUCACUUGGUGCUGUGACAAUAUUCUGCCUGAGGCAAGCAGGUGGAAGAGAAUAAGAGCCAAACUGAGCUUUCAUUCACAAGGUCAAUUCUUUGACUUGAGAAUGAAAAUAGCGUGAGAUAGCAUUCUGUAGUAAGGCUGUGAAGGCCUCACACUGUAUCUGUCCUAUUCUAGGCUUCCAGGGAAAUUUGCAUGUUUCAGCAGAAUUGUUAAAGUUAUUCCCACUCCCAGUUUCUUACGCUGAGAGGUCCUCCGUUCUGGAAGAGCAUCUGCUAGGGUAGAUGUCUGCAGAAUGCUUUGCUAGAAAUCGCCAUAUACUGACAGUUAUGUCUGGUGAUGAAUUAAAUUAAGCCCUUCCUUCUGUUUUGUCUGAAAAAAGGUUUUACUGAUAUGGCUAGAUCAUCACAGAAUACCGUAUUUUAACACUCCUACUCAAAAUGCCUGGGGCAGCAAGUCAGCAGUUUAUUUUAACUGCCUCGUAUUUGAUUGUGAGGAGGUUGUUUUUCUAGAGGACAAGUAAGAGUGGAAGAGGAAAGGAUCUUUUCUAUACGCAGUUUUAAGAUAGUUUUAAAUUUCUCGCGGUGAUCGUCGGGUUCUGAAUGCAAAUUUUCAUGUAGUGAAUGAACUGCGAAUUGCAAGGAACAUGUCAGCAGGUGAAAGGUACUUUUGGGUACCCAAUUUGAUUAACUUCACAGCUCCCAAGUCCCCCAAAGAUGAAAUACUUUAAAAUGGUACUUCUUCCCUCUGCCCCCUUUCUCCCUCCCCCCCAAAAAAAAGGAAAAAGAAAAAUUUUGAUGAGGCACAAAAGACUGAGGUUACUAAUGCAUUUCUCUUGCGAUAAAUUCUGACAUCUCUGUCUGAAAAGUAUUCCAGACAAAUGUGUUCAGGAAUUGGUAUGAGAAACUACAGGUUAAAAAAAUGGACUAUGCUCUUAAUCGUCAUUACAAACUCAUAGGUGCAAUUUUAACUUCAGCUUCCUCACCUUUGGCAAAAAUUAACUUUUUUUUUUUUUUUAACUUUGAAUGCUUAACAUACUGAAUGAAAAAAGCGUGAAAAAAAAAAAGAAAGAAGAAACCUGCAAGGACUAUGUCUGUUUUCGAGCCCUUUUCAGACUUCUGUUUGUGUGCUCUGAGGAGUAUCUCCCCUUUGUGCAUCCUAACCAGAAGUUAUCGGGAGCAGCAACGGCUGUGUGUGGACACCUGCUGCAGAUGAAUUUCUAAGGUACAUGAAAGUGCAUGCUACAUGAAAUACAAGCCAAGACUUCAGAUUCCCAGUGUUAAUUUCAAUGUUGCACCAUAUCGUGUUUUGGAUGCAGAAUUAAUCAUCCCUGAUUUCAGUUUGGCUGCAAUAUUGUCCGGCUACUUAUGCUAUUGCAAAAGACUAAACAACACAGAAAAGUGUAAAGCUGUUCUUCACCACAGCAAAGACGAGACACCUAUAAAUGGAGGUAAAGAGGAAAAAUGAAUGAUUAUGUACGUGUGUUCUCUGAAAGAGGUUUCCAUGUCAGGAUGAAGGGAAAUAUUUGCUCAAGGAUCUGCUGAGGCCAAAUAGCAAAGGUAAUUUGUGUUCGUAAAUGGUUAAUCGCGACUUAAAAAUACCCGUAUUGACAGGAACUGCAGGAUAAAUGUCAUUGGAACUUCUUGUUUUUUUAAUACACCU